Anthonomus grandis grandis is the source of this 1488-nucleotide long non-coding RNA. RefSeq lists it as uncharacterized. NCBI's taxonomy places the organism in Eukaryota, Metazoa, Arthropoda, Insecta, Coleoptera, Curculionidae. The record is from RefSeq and is a predicted model, not a curated record. The transcript has 3 exons.
ACAGUUGCCAUAAUUUACGCUCUCAAAAUUAAGAAAUCUAAACGAAAAAGAAGGUACUGGGUCCAUCCGUUAUACGAAAGGCGUCUGACAAAUGAAUGAGCGUUACGUCUUUUGAUGAAUUAGUGACGUUGAUGAGACCUCACUUGCAAAAGUCAAAUAGUCACUUUAGAAAUUGCAUCACUGUGGAAGAAAGAUUAACAGUCACUAUAAGGUAUCUCGCGACUGGAAUGCAUUUUGAUGCUUUGCAGUAUUCAUUUUUAAUGGGAAGAAGUACAAUCGCAGUGAUCAUUUAUGAAUGUUGUCGUGCAUUAUGGACUAUAUUACAACCACUAGAAAUCCCCGAACCUACUGUUGAAAAAUGGAAAGAAAUAGCAGAGGAAUUUGAUCAGAAAUCUAAUUUCCCCCACUGCUUUGGGGCAGUCGAUGGGAAACAUAUUCGUUUAAUGUCACCAGAACAUAGCGGAUCGGCAUUUUUUAAUUACAAGAAACAUUUUUCGCUCGUGCUUAUGGCGAUUUCUGAUGCAAACUAUUGCUUCACAGUAAUAGAUGUAGGAGCAUACGGACGGGAGUCCAAUUGCAAUGUUUUUAGGCAAAGUACUGUUGAAAGAAAGACAGUGAGCUUAUUAUACCCAGUCCAUCAGUUUUGGCAGAUAAUUGUGACCAACGUAUUUAUCCCUAUGUAUUAGUGGGCGCUGAAGCUUUUCCUUUACAUCAAAAUUUAUAAAGGCCAUAUCCAAGACGUAAUCUUAACGAGAAUAAAAGGAUUUUCAAUUACAGAUUAACAAGAGCUAGGAGGUUCGUGGAAUGUGCCUUUGGCAUUCUGGUCAAUAAGUGGCGUAUGUUUCAUGCUAGCAUAUUAGUGUAACCAGAUUUUGCAGUGCUGGUAAUAAAAGCAGCUUGUGUCUUGCAUAACUUUGUUCGAAAACGGGACGUAUACAAAUUUGAAGACACGUUAACUUGCUGCUUAAAUGAUAUAGAUGUACAUGGGACUGGAGGACAACAACUACGAGGACAACAUGUCAGAGAUCUUUUUACUGAGUAUUUUGUAUCGCCUGAAGGCAGUUUGAGUUGGCAAAAUGUUGUGAUAUAGAUAAGUAUUAUUGUAUUGUGUUUAUUUAAUAGAUAGGUAUAUUAUUACCUUUGUAAACAAUUAUUAUAUUAAAACACUUUCUGUACAUAUAUAUGAAGUAUUUUUCUUACCUUUUAAUCUUAUUUCUUCCGGAGUCGACAAAUUUUGAUCCGAAUACAUUUCCUCCAAAACCUCCUGCCAAGCAUUAAUUUUUUUAUCCCGACUUUUGUAUUCCUUGUCAGAAACAUCCCACAAACACGUCCGAUUUUGCACCAAAAUAAUAAAUUUUUCUGUGUCGAAUAUAUCCAUGGUUCAAAAAUGAUCUGAUCUCGUUCUUGGCCGCGCGGUUAAUGUGAACACGUAAUCAAGAAACAACACGUUGAAUUUCCGAUCCCGAACCGCGCAAAGAUGCGGUUGAG